GAUGAACGCUGGCGGCGUGCCUAAUACAUGCAAGUCGAGCGAACGGACGAGAAGCUUGCUCCUCUGACGUUAGCGGCGGACGGGUGAGUAACACGUGGAUAACCUACCUAUAAGACUGGGAUAACUUCGGGAAACCGGAGCUAAUACCGGAUAAUAUUUUGAACCGCAUGGUUCAAUAGUGAAAGACGGUUUUGCUGUCACUUAUAGAUGGAUCCGCGCUGCAUUAGCUAGUUGGUAAGGUAACGGCUUACCAAGGCAACGAUGCGUAGCCGACCUGAGAGGGUGAUCGGCCACACUGGAACUGAGACACGGUCCAGACUCCUACGGGAGGCAGCAGUAGGGAAUCUUCCGCAAAGGGCGAAAGCCUGACGGAGCAACGCCGCGUGAGUGAUGAAGGUCUUCGGAUCGUAAAACUCUGUUAUUAGGGAAGAACAAAUGUGUAAGUAACUAUGCACGUCUUGACGGUACCUAAUCAGAAAGCCACGGCUAACUACGUG
RNAcentral lists this ribosomal RNA (497 nucleotides) under uncultured bacterium. Its description in RNAcentral is "partial 16S ribosomal RNA". It matches the Rfam family "Bacterial small subunit ribosomal RNA", at positions 28 to 507 of the family's 1533-position model. The record is from RNAcentral.